This 368-nucleotide long non-coding RNA is filed under the name Bos taurus (domestic cattle). RNAcentral's name for it is "long non-coding RNA NONBTAT019687". The record is from RNAcentral. Lineage: Eukaryota; Metazoa; Chordata; Mammalia; Artiodactyla; Bovidae.
GCUUACUAUUAGGGGAUAUAACCUUGUAGACUAUCAUAUAUAUAUUCUUUUUAAAUGUGUACUGUGUGGUACUUUGCUUUUACAGUUAAUUAUAUUGAAAAACUUCAUCUGUGUUUUUCUUCAACCUCAUUUUUAAUAAUUGCAUAAGAAUUUUAAUGUGUAAAUGUGCAGUAGUAUAAACAACCAAUUCCUGAUGAUUUAUAUAAUAUUUAAUUGUAUCUUACAGCUUUUUGUAAACUGUGAAAAGGUAAAUCCCUAGGUUUUUUUUUUUCAAUUAAAAAUGAUGCAGAAAUACUAACACAUGGAAAUCUGUUUGUAUAGCUGCUUAGAGAAAUAUUUUCUUGCUUGAGACAACUAUAAUCGAUCGU